This is a long non-coding RNA of Brassica oleracea var. oleracea, 1178 nucleotides long. RefSeq lists it as uncharacterized. The record is from RefSeq and is a predicted model, not a curated record. Lineage: Eukaryota; Viridiplantae; Streptophyta; Magnoliopsida; Brassicales; Brassicaceae. The transcript is spliced from 5 exons.
UGUAAUUUUAUAAUUAAUCUCUCACACUCGGUCAUCCAGAUGGGAUAAGACACAAACCAUUUCGAUUCCUUCUUCCCACUCUCCUUGCCAUCGUAAUCGUCUCCGCCGGUUUUCUGAUCCAUGAGUCAUGAGGGUUGUAUUAUACAUCUAGUGAAGAAUUGCAGAACUAUCAUUGGUUUGAACCUAAAUGGCUGCAAGGUAGCUGAAAGUUAUCAAGACUUAAAAAGAGUCACUGAAUAAUAUCACUAGGUGUGUUAAGAUCACAGAUGAUGGAUUACUUAAAGUGCUACAGAUGUGUUAUACCAUCCAGAAGCAUAAUUCUAUUUUAUCUGGCUAAAAAUAUUGAAGAUCCAGCAGUUGUAAGUUCUUGACCUGAUCAUGAAUAUUUUGCAGAUUCACAGACAAGGCCUACAAGAAGAUAUCUCUUUUGCUUGAUCCAAGUUGCUUAGAUCUAUGUUUAAUACACGUUGGAGAGGUAACAGUUGUUGGUGCGAAGGGAAAUUUAGGGCGUUUCAUCAAUAACUGCCGCCUUACUGAAAAGGAUCAGGAGUCGAUUUAUGACUACAACUAUGUGAGGGUUUUUGCUGCUGCUGCUGCCAAAAAGUGUUAUUGUGGGUCAUCACAUUGCCGAGGCUAGGAGAUCCUUUGAACGGCGAUGUAAUUGUUCAAAGUUGCUCAGAUGAAGAGUACCCUGAAAUUGUGCAGGCAAAUCUGGAAUAGCAACUGCCUUCUUCAGUGAGAGCAAUGCAUCACUGGCUAGGCAGCUCGCUGAGCUGAUGCAAGAAGCCAAUCAAGAGGUGCCUGAUUGGCUCACAAGAUACGCUUCACGUGCUUCAUUUGGCGGUGGUAAGAAACGGUCUGGUGGCCAGACGGGAGGGAAUGUUGAGCUCAGCUCUCAUGCUUCUCAAGUAGUUCCUCUUGGUUUUCUUGUGGACAGUCAAGCUCAAGAGCUCGUGCAGAACUCCCACAGCUCGUUUCUCCAUGAGAUCUGUGGGAGACAGAUCAUGUAUGUCAUAACAAUAUUGCAACCAGCGUGUGUGCUGUCUUUAGCAUAUAUAUAUAUAUUCACUGCUCUUAGUAUUUAUGUAAGGUAUCGAAGAAAGUAGAUGAAGUAUGUGUAGGGGAGGUGAGAAUACUCCAUCAUAAAUCUCUCAGAACCUUGUAUUUGCUUUUGAUCA